RNAcentral lists this ribosomal RNA (765 nucleotides) under uncultured Pseudomonadota bacterium. RNAcentral describes it as "bacterial SSU rRNA". It matches the Rfam family "Bacterial small subunit ribosomal RNA", at positions 73 to 882 of the family's 1533-position model. Lineage: Bacteria; Pseudomonadati; Pseudomonadota. The record is from RNAcentral.
GGUAUAGCAAUAUACCUUAGUGGCGAACGGGUGAGUAAUAUGUGGGAAUCUACCCAUUGGAGGGAAAUAUGUAUUGGAAACGAUAAUUAAUGUCCCGUAAGCCCGAGAGGGGAAAGCAGCAAUGCGCCAAUGGAUGAGCCCAUAUCAGGUUGUAGUUGGUGGGGUAACGGCCUACCAAGCAAUAAUCUGUAACUGGUCUGAGAGGAUGGUCAGUCACACUGGAACUGAGAUACGGUCCAGACUUCUACGGAAGGCAGCAGUGGGGAAUUUUGGGCAAUGGGGGAAACCCUGACCCAGGUAUACCUCGUGGAUGAAGAAGGCCUUAGGGUUGUAAAGUCCUUUUACUAGGGAGCAUAUUGAGAGUACCUAGAGAAUAAGCACCGGCUAACUCUGUGCCAGCAGCCGCGGUAAUACAGAGGGUGCAAGCGUUGUUCGGAAUGACUGGGCGUAAAGGGCAGGUAGACUGCUUAAUAAGUUAGUAGUGAAAUCCACGGGCUUAACCCGUGUGCUGCUAUUAAUACUGUUAAGAUAGAGAAAAAAAGAGGCAAAUGGAAUUUCUAGUGGAGAGGUAAAAUUCGUUGAUAUUAGAAGGAACACCAGAGGCGAAGGCGAUUUGCUGAUUUUUUCUGACGUUGAGCUGCGAAAGCGUGGGGAGCAAACAGGAUUAGAUACCCUGGUAGUCCACGCCGUAAACGAUGAGUGCUGGAUAUUGGAACAUUUUUCCAGUGUCGAAGCUAACGCGUUAAGCACUCCGCCUGGGUAGUA